RNAcentral lists this long non-coding RNA (1481 nucleotides) under Monodelphis domestica (gray short-tailed opossum). Its description in RNAcentral is "lncRNA (ENSMODG00000050265.1)". The record is from RNAcentral. Lineage: Eukaryota; Metazoa; Chordata; Mammalia; Didelphimorphia; Didelphidae.
GGAAAAAGGUGAUAGAAUGAGUAUUUAUUAAGCAUCUAUUAUGUGCUAGGCACUGUGCUAAGUACUUUUCAAAUAUUAUCUCCUUUGGUCCUCAUAAGAACCCUUUAAGGUGGCUACUACUAUUAUCUCCAUAUUGUAAUUGAGAAAACUGAGGCAGACAGGUUAAGUGACUUGUCCAGAGUCUCACAACUAGCAAGUGCCCGACACUCGGGUCUUCCAGAUUUGUAACCUCUCUACUGCUUAGCACAGUUUGCAUACAUGGUGAACACUUAAUAAAUGCUUCUUGACUGAUCAAAUUAUACCUCUUGGGUCCCAAUUUCUCCAUGUGUAAAAUGAAGAGCUUGGAUUCAAUCAACAUUCUAUUGCAGUAUGACUCAGAUUUCCUUAGAGCUCUAAGAUUCAGGAAUUCUAGGAAAAGUAUUGAAAAUAUUGGCAUCCUGGUAAUAAUUAAUGCAGCAGCAUUCUGAAAGGAUGAAUGAAUCCUCUUCUGUGUCUAAUUCCUAGUAGGGGCAACUUGAAAAUGGAGGAGAACAAGACUUGGUGUUUCCCAAAGUUUCUACAAACUUGCCUUAUGCAGACAUUCCAAAGGCCAGUUUACUUUCUCCUGGAUGAAUUCCCAAGGAUCAAGGACAACAUGGCAGAAGAUACUAUUUCAAGGCACAAAAGAAAGCAGACUGAGGUAGAACAUGCUGGGUAGGAGAAUACAUGUAUAACAGAACAUGUCCAAAAUCUAACUAGGAGGUUUUCCAUAAGGUAAAUUCUCAUGUUCCUUAGUUUCCCCAUCUGUUAAACUGGGUGUGUGGGGGGGACUGCAUCAUCAUUAAAUGCCAUUUCUAUUCUGACAUUCCAUAAUUCAUAAAAAUCAUGAUCUCUUAGAGCUUGACUAGAUUUCUUUGCCUUAAUAGAAAAUAAUCAGAGUCAUGUUUAACGUUUACUCAAGACUUUUGGUAUUGUAAAACUGCAGUGAUAAGAUUUCAAACAUCACUCCUAUGGGAACACUGGAUAUCAUGAGUCACAGUAUUUAAAGCUAGAAGAAUUCUUAAAGAUCAAGUAGUCUAAGUUUCUCAUUUUGCAGAUGAGGAAAUUGAGACCUAGAUAAGCAAAGUAACUUGCCCAAAGGUCAUACAAGAUGACAAAUGGUUAAGCCAGAAUCCAACAGGUCUUCUGACUCCUAGGGCAGUAUCUUUUCCACUGUGUAUUAUACUUCUUCCCAUUCUGGGCACCAGAUCUCUUCCUAUGUGGAUCUUUUAUCACAGUAGCAAAGGGAAGCACAUCAUUUCAUGCUUUUGUCUAGAGCUUUGGAUAGGAUAGAAAGAACAUUGGGCAACUAAACUAAGAGAGACAUGGGAUCUAGCCCCAUGAGUCAGCCCUACAUGAGCAGUGCAGCUUGGGGCAAGUCACAACUUCUUAGAGGUACAGUUUCUUGUAAAUUGAGAUAAUCAUAUUUGUUAUAUUUGAACAAAUGAAAUAAUAUAAUAAAA